GUGAGGAAUUUUCCGCAAUGGGCGAAAGCCUGACGGAGCAAUGCCGCGUGAAGGAUGAAGGCCUAUGGGUUGUAAACUUCUUUUCUCAGAAAAGAAUUAUGACGGUAUCUGAGGAAUAAGCAUCGGCUAACUCUGUGCCAGCAGCCGCGGUAAGACAGAGGAUGCAAGCGUUAUCCGGAAUGAGUGGGCGUAAAGCGUCUGUAGGUUGUUUAAAAAGUAUUCUGUCAAAGAUUAGGGCUUAACCCUAGAUAGGCAGAAUAAACUUUUAAGCUAGAGUUUGGUAGAGGCAGAGGGAAUUCCCGGUGGAGCGGUGAAAUGCGUAGAUAUCGUGAGGAACACCAAAGGCGAAGGCACUCUGCUGGGCCAAUACUAACACUGAGAGACGAAAGCGAGGGGAGCAAAUGGGAUUAGAAACCCGUGUAGUCC
Molecule: ribosomal RNA, 426 nt
Filed under: uncultured bacterium
Lineage: Bacteria
Description: partial 16S ribosomal RNA
Rfam family: Bacterial small subunit ribosomal RNA
Source: RNAcentral